Cynoglossus semilaevis (tongue sole) is the source of this 1302-nucleotide long non-coding RNA. RefSeq lists it as uncharacterized. The transcript is spliced from 4 exons. NCBI's taxonomy places the organism in Eukaryota, Metazoa, Chordata, Actinopteri, Pleuronectiformes, Cynoglossidae. The record is from RefSeq and is a predicted model, not a curated record.
GGUCCAGCUCCUCCGCUUGUCUGAAAUCCAGUCCCAGGUCCUCCAAAACCUGUUCCACUCCCACCUGGUCCAAAUCCAGUCCCAGGUCCUGCACCAGUGCCUACUCCAGCUCCAGCUCCUCCACCAGCACCGACAGCCUGAUCUUGCAUAAAUUCAAGUGACAACAACGUAACGUUGUGUUGAAACAGGAGAAGAGGUUAAACAGAAUCAGGAGGCAAUGUCACUAAAUCUGACUGGAAUAAGAAUCUGCAAAGGAACUAAGGACGUGCUGCACAGCUGCACAAAAGGCAAUUAAUAAGGGACCCACCUCCUUCAAGUGAUGGUUUCCACAGAGCCAGGAGAAGGACUCCAUGUAGUUCUGCAUCUGCUGACUCUGUGGUCUCAAAGUGCCGGCUUCUUAUCAUCAUGAUGUCUAUCCAAACGUUAGUGCUGCUGUGGGUAAGUGAAACUGCCCAUGUUUCUGUCAGACCUGAUGAUACUAAGCAGUUGUGCACACUCUCACACUGUAUCACAUGCCCUUACUCAUGCACAUCACCUACGUGCACCACAUAGGUUUCGUACAGAAGCCUACUUGGCUAACUCCUACAUUUGGCACUGAAACCCCUUUGGUUUCUGUGUUGAAGACUUCUGGGUCAAUAGGAACGCAGAAGUGAGUAAAGGUUCUUGAUAUUAUUUAUCAGAAGAGAGCUGAGUGAGAAAUGUUUGAUGCGAGAUUGAUGUCACGUACCUUAUUUGGAGAAAGACCUACGGAGCCUUAUCCUGCUUGGGAGACGGAGGCUAAAUAAAAUGUGUUCACACAAAGAGAAUGUCAGCAUCACUUAUACCAAAACGUCCUGUGUGAAUAGGCAUCUACUCGUGGUUUUAGUUUGAAAAAGAAAUUCUUCUUACUGUACUGUGGUACAGUAGAUCUGUGGGUCAAAUCGACCCAAAAGGAGAGGGUUGUUGCACGAAGUGUGUCAAACAGAAAUCACAGUGAACCCUCCAGCUGUGACGAUCCCCGUCGAAGGGACAAGCUGAAAUCAAUGUAUCUAUGGAUCAAUGGAUUUAUACAUUUAAACCUCUCCAUAAUAUGGUCUUAGUGCAGUGCCCGAUAGAGGUGAGUGAUGGUCUUUACUGCGACUGUUUGUUUUUUAACUAUAUCACAUAGAGACAGCCUGAAUGGUCAUAUAAAUCACUAUGCUGUGGAACUCAUAAUAAUGUCAUCAGGUUUAGCAUGGCGCUGGAGUCGUCUACUGCGAUGUACUUCAGUAAUACAUCAACAUGUGAUUAGGCAAAACCUUCUUAACCGCGGGUAAUUGGACU